This 253-nucleotide ribosomal RNA is filed under the name uncultured bacterium. RNAcentral describes it as "partial 16S ribosomal RNA". It matches the Rfam family "Bacterial small subunit ribosomal RNA", at positions 524 to 776 of the family's 1533-position model. The record is from RNAcentral.
AACGUAGGAGGCAAGCGUUAUCCGGAGUGACUGGGCGUAAAGAGCGUGUAGGCGGUUGAGUAAGUUGCGUGUGAAAGCGCCCGGCUAAACUGGGCGAGGACAGGCAAGACUGCUGAGCUAGAGGCCGAUAGAGGGGUGCGGAAUUCCGGGUGUAGCGGUGAAAUGUGUAGAGAUCCGGAGGAACACCAGUGGUGCAGACGGCGCCCUGGAUCGGACCUGACGCUGAGACGCGAAAGCGUGGGGAGCGAACGGG